Non-coding RNA from Acanthosepion pharaonis, 112 nucleotides. NCBI's taxonomy places the organism in Eukaryota, Metazoa, Mollusca, Cephalopoda, Sepiida, Sepiidae. The record is from the annotation of a GenBank genome assembly.
UUACGGCCAUAUCACGUUGAAACACUGGUUCUGCUACGACCACCGAAGUCAAGCAACGUCGAGCCUGGUCAGUACCUACAUGGGUGACCACAUGUGAAUAUCAGGUUCUGUA